This is a long non-coding RNA of Columba livia (rock pigeon), 6484 nucleotides long. RefSeq lists it as uncharacterized. Lineage: Eukaryota; Metazoa; Chordata; Aves; Columbiformes; Columbidae. The transcript has 3 exons. The record is from RefSeq and is a predicted model, not a curated record.
GUGGCGGUGGCGACGUCUCCUCCUCCGGGCCUGGCGGGGCGGGGGUUGCGCGGGGUGGGCCUGGAGCGGUUCGGGCUAGCCUGAGUCCGGCGUGUUUGGCUUCGGUUGCGUUUGGUUCGCUGCUACGUGCCCGACGUGGCCGCUGGUGGCCCGCGCCCGGCCCGGCCCGGCCGGACAGGCGGCGGUUCCUGGCUGAGGGGCAGCCCGGCCCCGUGAGUCACUUCCCGGCAGCGGCUGGAUUUUUCCAUUGCCCGUAAAGGGCAGCCGGAGCGGUGGCUGGGGCGAAGGCAGCGGCUUAGAGGGGUCCGCCCUGGGGUGGGAGGGAGGGAGCUCCUCCACAGGUCGGUCCCCAAGAGGCGUGAUGGGUGGAGCGGUGAGGGGUGAUGCUCCAGGCCCGAGCAAUAGACUGUCGGUAGAGAUGGGAAUCCAGACAAGGUUUAUAAGUGCAUAUUAAUUUGCAUUUAAAUGCCAUAGUAAGGUUUCCAAAUGCAGCAAAUCUAUCUACCAAGCAUCUCCUUGUAACAGGGUAAAGCCUACAAGGAACAGGUGAUAAACAUCACAAGCACUGGUUUUGUUUCAACUUCAGUGGUCCUGUAUGUGUGAACUAUGUUAUAUGAGUCUGAAAAUGUUUGCAAAAUAAGCAGUCAUAUGCUUUAAAAUAUGUGUAGGAGCAGCUGAUGAAAAAGGCACAAGAAAUAUGUUCUUAGAAUCAUAAAAUAGUUUGGAUUGGAAGGGACCUUCGAAGGUCAUCUAGACCAACCCCCCGCAAUGAGCAGGGACAUCUUCAACUAGAUCAGGUUGCUCAGAGCCCCGUCCAGCCUGGUCUGGAAUGUCUCCAGAGAUGGGGCAUCUACCACCUCUCUGGGCAACCUGGGCCAGUGUUUCACCACCCUCAGUGUAAACAAUUUCUUCCUCGUGUAGCCUGAAUCUCCCAUCCUUUCAUUUAAAACUAUUACCCCUUGUCCUAUUGUAACAGGGCCUGCUGAGAAGUCUGUUGAGUUGCUUGACUGUAGGGGUCUGGUAGCGUUUCAUGCACUCAAGAACUAGAUAACUGUCUGGUGAAAGUGGAUAUCAUUCCUUACUUGAAAGCAAUCCUCACAAACCAAUCCAAACUGCUGCAGCAUAACUUCUCUCAAGUGAUCACUUACUGGUAAGAGAAAGAAUGCUUAUGAAAAGACAUCAUAGUGUAAUUUCCUUUUUCUGUGUCAGAUAAUAUUAAUGGUCUGUUGUGUGAGAAGGAAUAGAGGAAAGAACAUAAUGCAUCCAGGAGAACAAAAAUCAAAUUUCCUGGAGCAAGAAGCCUGAUUGCUGAACAGCAUUACAUUCACAUGCAAAAUAGUUUUGUUUUUAUUUUCUCCAGAUGUAAAUAAAUAAACCUUUUUAUUAUCUCCAGAUGUAAAUAAGCAAACCUUUUUAUUAUCUUCAGAUGUAAAUAAAGGAAAUAGGGCAAGGUAAAAAAUCAAUGCAGACACAAUCUUCAGGAGUAUCUUUUAUUUAAAUAAAUUCCCAGUUUUAUUAGCACAUAAGUGAUUUCAGCAAGUUACUAUAAAAAUACUGUCUUGCUGGAAAGCGAUGCUGGCUUCUGUCAGUCGUGGCUUCUGUGUACAGGCAGUAAAGCUGACUGACAUUCAUCUUUCAGGCCGAAUAGAAGGAGGAGGAAGGACUGGGAUCAGAUUAAGGUUGCCAGAGACAAUGGAAAUCGAUGCUCACAAGCACGAGUUGCUUGCAAGGCCCAGCAGACUGAGGUUUUCCUGGUAACUGGUAGCAAACACAUCUGCUGAGACACAGGGCUGUGUGCAAGGCUGUCAUGAAAACCGUUCACAAAAAACCUUCACGUUCUUGUAGCUUUUUACUGUCUCCUGAAAAGCAGGUUCACUGUACAUUCUUUAUAAAUAUACGGGAUUAUACUGAAGAAUACAUCUGGUUUGUAUUUUUCAGUUCUCCUUUGAGUAGAUAUCAGCUAUAUUUUAUUGGUUAAAAGGGCAUUUUCUGCAUGGGUGAUUUGACAUCAAUCUUAACUCAAGUGUAUUAUUAUACUGAACACUGUGAUGUAAAUAUAGGCUGUCUUCCAGUGAGAAUGAGAGCUAAAGCUUUGAAAAGAGCUACAGGAGAGAAACCCUGUAAGAAAUCCAUGCACUGAAAGCACCCGACAGUGCAACUGUGAGCAUUGUUCUUCUAACAGAGGGCACAGCAAAGGGUAAGACACCGCCUGAAGGUCAGUUCUGUCAGACCGUGUUUCUCCAAGGUCCUCUGCUGUGGUGCAGAGUCAGAAGAUGCACCACAUCUCAGUAGGCUCACACUCACAGUAGGCUACGACAAGUAACGGUUGUAUUCCAUCAUUUCUGUUUUCCUUCCACUCAUGUGGAACCUGUGAUUACUGAUUUUCUUGUAUGAGAAGUCCUGUACCUUCCAAAACUUCAGCUACCAGUACUUAAUUAAAUUAAAAGACCAGUCUGGCUGAGAACAGGAAGUUCUGCCAGAGCCACCUAAAGUGUCACAUUUCACUGUCCCCAUCUUUCUUAAAAGCCCCCUUUAAGUACUGAAAGGCUGCAAUAAGUUCUCCCUGGAGACUCCUCUUCUCCAGGCUGAACAACCCCAACUCUCUCAGCUUGGCCUCAUAGGAGAGGUGUUGCAGCCCUCUGAUCACAGUACUAGCUUGUGAGCUGAUCAUAGAAUCACAGAAUUGGGAAGAAAACCUUUUGCUUACAAAGAAAAGUGGAGAUCAUAAUUGGGACUCCGCUAAGAAGAAAGAUGACGAAGUAACUUUUGCGAAAUGCCCUACCUGGAUGAGUAGGAACAGAAAUUAACAUUAAAAAAUAGAGUGAAGGCAGGGGAAGUGGAAUGCAAUUAGUAGUUAUUUAAGAUAAUGACAGACAGAAUGUGAACAGGGCUGCUGGACAGUAGAGGGUAAAGCCACUGCUUAUGAAGUUAAUAGGUUUUUCAGAGGCCGUAGUUACAAAAGCCAAUACCUCUCUCUCCCAAAAGUCUGUUUACUGGAUAUAUGGUAUAACUGUGUUAAGAAUUUAAAAAAAAAAAGAAAAAAAAAAAGCAGAAGUGCUCAUUUUAAACACAAGCUGGUGGCAGACCAGGGAAAUUCCGGAGGAAGGCAGAACUGGUAAGGCUAUGUCAAAAUUUAAAAAGUGAAAAUGAGAGCCAUGUAAUUGUAAACUACCUAGAUUAAUCUGAGUCCUUGGCAAGCCUCGUUUAAACAAUCAUGCCAAUGUUUUCAAAUACAAAAGGCCAGUUCAGCUAUGGUCAGGUCUGUAUUUACUUAAUGGGAUGUAUAAAGGAUGAAACUUCCCACCAGAGUAACUUGCUAUUCUGUUUUGCAGCAGAAGACGGGGAAGUCAGUGGCACUGUAGGUUCCCUCAGAAUCUGCUCUGAGGGAGAACAAUGUGCAAGCUGAUCCCUGCUGAGAUCUUGCAGAGUGCUGACUGCAGGUCAGUCCCAGCAGUAAUAAUACAAGAAAGGGUUUGUACUUACUGGCUGAUUAGCCAGUGAAUUUUCCAUGAAGUCCUAUUGCGGGAACAAGAAUAUGGAAGGUAGCUUGGGUGCUAAUGAUGUUCCUCAGGGACAUGCUAAAGCAGACUUGUUUCCGUACUACUGGGCUGCAGGUUGCCCGACGAGAUUAGGAUUACGUUUUUGAGAACCACAUUGUAACAAGAGACAACACUGCUGAGUUUCUGGCCAAAAUCCUCCACCUGCCCGUGAGUGAGAGCACCACACCGGGUUGCUGCUGCAUUGUACCCCAGAGGAGGCUGCGAGCCUGCGCAGGGUCAGACGCUGAUGAACUUGAGCUGUACUGGAGUGCCUGAUACCGCCAACCUUGGCAAAACUACAACAAGGUUAUCGACUGUGCAAAGAUUUGUACAAACCCUGUGCUGAAAACAGGGCACAGGAAAAUAACCCUGCUGAAAUCUUCGAUCGGGCUGUGACACUUCAAAUUAAGGCUGCUCUGGCAUAGUAGAAAUAAAAAGUGCUCUCAUUACAAGGAGUCUUUACAAAAAUUACUAAGCAGACCACUUUUUACUGAAAACAGAACAAUAAAAGUGCGGGUGGUUUGACAAAGCUAAUUUACUUUCCAGCUUUUCAGCUUUCCUAUUUGAAAAACAACGGGAAGCAGCCUAUUCUGGGUGCUCUUUGGUAGAAAUGUAAAAUAAUCCUGAUGUGGAUGUGUCCCUGUUGUGUCCUGAUAUGGUCUCACAUAGGACUGAUGCUUCAAUUCUGGGGGAAGAUGCUGAGCUGAUAUUUUUUUUAGGCUUGCCUUCAAAUCUAAAGGUGUCACUUUGCUUUAAACUCUUGCACCUUCGCACUCCUCUGCCUCCUUAGUGCAGAAGUGGAGCUCAGCUUUCUGCAGCUUUCAGCCCUAGCUGUCAGCUUUUGUCGGUUUACAUUUCACUUUUCCCUAAACCUGGAUGGGACGAGAGAAAUUAUAGGCCCUAGAGGACAUCGAAUAGUAUUUUUAUAUGACUAUUUGCACUAGCAAAGAAAAAAUAACUGCACAAAACAGAUCAGCUCUGUGCCAUGCACUGAAGAGUAAACACUAACUUUGUAUCUGCUGCUGUGAAAAGAGCCACUGUUCUGUGGUUCCUCUGAUUCAUGAGGAUCAGAGAGGAGCUAUGGACUCCAGCCCGGGAGUUGAAGCGGUUAAAUAGAGAAAGAGAUAAAGGAAACUGGAAUGAAGGAAACUGGAUUCCUCAGAUAAUGGCAGGGAAAAAAAAAAACAACCAGGAGAGGAUAUUUAACAAUUAAAAUAAUACUUAAAUUAUUACAAUUGCAAAGAACUAGGGACAACAGCCCUAAAAUGCCAUACAUGCAGGUGUUCUGUGAUGACAUGGGUGUAGACCGCUAUAUAUACAUCACUAUCACAGUCCUUUUUCUUUUGCCUUCUAGCUUAAAUACCAACGUAGAGCUGCUGUAUGCACACACAGGCUGCUGUAUGUGUACACAGACAUAAUUUAAGGGAAUUUAAGUGAGAUUUAACAGUAAUUUUCAAUAACUUUAACUCCUUUUAAAUUAAAAAAAAAGUGCUUUUGACCUUACAUUUUUUAUGUUUGCUUCUUCACAAAAAGUAUGAGCAACCUUAAAAUUUUCUCCUGGUAACAGUGUGAAGAAAAACACUGAUCUAAAAUGUUCUACCACUUUCAUAUAAACCAAAUCAUUAUUAAAAAAAGCUUUUUAAAAAGUUGGAUUUUAAGUUCAGCAAAUGGCUAGACCUCAAGAGAACACUCUUGACAGUUUUAAUUUUUGAAAAUCAGAGAUGUCGAAAAGCAGUCAUUAUAGCAUUGCUUAUUAAAUCUAGUAGAAUUUUGCUGUUACACUAUGUACAAAUGUCAGCAGCGGUUAAGUGUUAACACCUCUCAUUCUUCAGGACAAUGCUUAAAUGCAUAAACACGUGCCUGCUGGAAUUCAGAUUGCCAUUAAAUGAUUUGUUGAUUUGCAUUCCUUAACAUCACACAAGCUGUUGCAUUAGUACAUUUGUCCUUCUCAGUUUGACCACUUAGGAAAUUCUUAAGCACUUGCUUUUCUCCUGUAGCAGAUAAUGGUUUGGUACCACUGGUAAUUUAGUUUUUAGCAUAAGUAUUAAGUGGGUACAUGGAAGGUUUACUUUUUUCAAUAGGAACAGUAUUCUCAAUACUCUCAAGAAAAUAGAGGGUAACAACACUGCCCUGUCACAGUGAAAACAUAGCCAAGAAUGCAGGUAAAAAAUCAAGGAUACAACAUCUCUUUCACUUUAAAUGUGCCAAAUAUCAGGAGUAAAAUUUAACUCAUUGACUAUGAAAAUACUGAAAUUUUCUAACAAAGAGUAAUUUGUGGCAAAAAUCACUAGCUAGGGGCUGGAGAACAUUUGAAUUAAGCCCUUGUGUCUUUUGUGAAUUUAGACUUUUUUUCUCCUUCUGAAAUGCUCUAAGAAGCUCACUUAAGCCAGGCAUUAUGCAAAGCCUGUGUUCCUGCCUUUGCACAGAGGGCGGGAGGCAGGAGAACAGUUUGCCUGUAUACGAUUUAAGAGUAUAAGUUAAUGUACUUCAGCACAUUGUGAUCAAGCUAGAGCUUGCAUCCUAGUGCAAAAACACCUACAAGAAAGAAUUGGGCAAAGUAUUUUCAAAACUACACAUGGGUUUAUCCUUGCUUCUGUCCUCUUGGCUUUGUUAUACCUUAAGAAUGAAUACAGUUGCUCACAUGGAAGAAUAAGUGAAGGCAGAUUGCCAGUUUACCAUUGUGGGAAAACAAAAACAUAUAGUUAAAGACUGGCUUCACUAGAGGUAAUAAGAGAAAUAGGAAAGCCAUCUAAGCUCAACAUCUAGAUUACACUCUUAUUUCAGGCGAGUUCUGAACCUAAGUGAAUUGUAUGUUAAUCCACUCCUAAGCAAAUCUAUCUGAAUAUAAGCGAUGUAUUAAAAAUCUUUAAGCAACCCAGUGUGAGAAUAUUUGUGUUCCUUUCACUUCAAACUCUGAAGUACAAUAAAUUAAACUAUGCUUCCAU